AUACGUAGGGGGCAAGCAUUAUCCGGAUUUAUUGGGCUUAAAGGGUGCGUAGGCGGUUUGUUAAGCGGGAGGUGAAAUGCCGGCGCUCAACGUCGGAAGUGCCUCCCGAACUGGUGGACUGGAAUGACUCUGCCGUGGGAGGAAUGUGUAGUGUAGCGGUGAAAUGCUUAGAGAUUACACAGAAAACCGAUUGCGAAGGCAUCUCACGAAGGGUUGAUUGACGCUGUGGCACGAAAGCGUGGGGAUCAAACAGGAUUAGAUACCCUGGUAGUCCACGCGGUAAACGAUGAUGGCUAACCGCUGGUUUUUUCGGAUCAGUGGCCAAGCGAAAGCGAUAAGCCAUCCACCUGGGGAGUACGACCGCAAGGUUGAAACUCAAAUGAAUUGGCGGGG
RNAcentral lists this ribosomal RNA (393 nucleotides) under uncultured bacterium. Its description in RNAcentral is "partial 16S ribosomal RNA". It matches the Rfam family "Bacterial small subunit ribosomal RNA", at positions 523 to 918 of the family's 1533-position model. The record is from RNAcentral.